Long non-coding RNA from Hippocampus zosterae (dwarf seahorse), 718 nucleotides. RefSeq lists it as uncharacterized. NCBI's taxonomy places the organism in Eukaryota, Metazoa, Chordata, Actinopteri, Syngnathiformes, Syngnathidae. The transcript has 2 exons. The record is from RefSeq and is a predicted model, not a curated record.
CGAUCCUUGUGAUGAAACCAGCGAAGCAGAGUCGCGUCGAUGCAUUCACUCACGCCUGCGGCGUUGCCGUGACAAUUCAAAUUAGAGCCGUUUUGCAAAGUUCUUCGACUGAUUGCGGCGGCAAAGCGGUCUGCUGUAUGUGGGUUAAAGCGACCUCCACCAGGCCUUGUCAGAGGGCACAUCCUGCCACUCACUUCUCAGGACAGGAAGCGUAUUUGAAGAUGCAGGCGAGGCAGGAAAUGGCGACCAUGAACUCCGUGAAGUCAACUUCUCCAUCUCCAUUAAAAUCCAUUAGAAGCUUUUCCCCGUCUGGGUUUCCCUGAGCUGCCUGUACACACCAAGAACACAAAGUCGAAAAAAAAAUAUGUCAUAUAUACAGUGUAUGUACAAUAAUAAAAAAUACUGUUCAAUUACUGAAAAACCUGAGUAACAUCCGAUUUAUCAGAGCAUGAACUACUACAUGUCAUGUUGAACAUUUCUAAUUGCUGUAACACUCAUGCUAAUUUCUACGAGCCUGUUUUUGUUGCUUUGCAGUAAAUUUUACCAUUAAGCUCAUGGACGUUUCUUCAGUUCAAUUCAUAUUUGUCUAUCCAUUUUGCAGUGAAGUGCAUGUCACCUUCCAAAGAUUGGGCAGCUCUUUCGCCAGCAGGGUCUUGACCUCAUUCUUGCUCAGGGUGGCCUUCUUCCCAUCGGUGCCGGCGUGUUUGUCAAAGACUUG